RNAcentral lists this ribosomal RNA (179 nucleotides) under uncultured eukaryote. RNAcentral describes it as "partial 18S ribosomal RNA". It matches the Rfam family "Eukaryotic small subunit ribosomal RNA", at positions 1299 to 1458 of the family's 1831-position model. The record is from RNAcentral.
UGGUGGAGUGAUUUGUCUGGUUGAUUCCGUUAACGAACGAGAUCUCGAUUCUUUAAUGACAUUCAGUUCGACUUGUAGUUCACCUAACUUGUCUUCGGGCAACUUGUUGGAUGAGAACUGACUUUGUACUUAAGAAGACGGUGCAUGUUUACAAUGCACGGAAGUGCGAGCCAAUAGCA